This is a long non-coding RNA of Corticium candelabrum, 384 nucleotides long. RefSeq lists it as uncharacterized. Lineage: Eukaryota; Metazoa; Porifera; Homoscleromorpha; Homosclerophorida; Plakinidae. The record is from RefSeq and is a predicted model, not a curated record. The transcript has 2 exons.
UACAUAGAUUUCGAUUUCUAAUUCAUCAUGCAGUCAAGCUGAAACUUGGACAAAUCAAAGUCUAGCUGUAUUGAAGACGCGCCUCACGUACUGGGUCUACAUCAUGAUCACAAAACUGCAGUCUCUGUUGGGCCACAAGAAGAACACCAGAAAAAUGCUUUGAGGAAGCCAAGGUUGUUCAAAAGAGUAAGGAAUAUCUACAGACGAGAAACAGGGCUGAAAUGCAACAGAACAAUGAGGGUACAAUUCCUGCAUGACAUUCUGUACACAGCAGACAACAAUCAAGAAAUGAUGGAGCCAAUACAAAGAUUGCCACUAUUUCCAAUUAUUCAUUGCAGUGUUAAUUGUUAGACAAGUGUAGAAUACAUAAAUUCUCAUAACAAU